Molecule: long non-coding RNA, 1085 nt
Filed under: Taeniopygia guttata (zebra finch)
Lineage: Eukaryota; Metazoa; Chordata; Aves; Passeriformes; Estrildidae
Description: lncRNA (ENSTGUG00000022899.1)
Source: RNAcentral
GGGGAUUAUGGGGGGCUCAGGGAGGGAUGGGGGGGUUGGGGGUCACAUCCCCCCCUCCCCCCAUCGCCAGGCGGGGUUUGGGGGGGCUCCGGAGCAGGUGGGGGGAGGAGGAAGGGCCGGGGCUCCCCCACCCCGGGGAGGGGCCGCAUCGCCCCCUCCCCCACUGCAGGGUCUGGGGGGCCGCAUCCCCCCUCCCCCCCCGCCCUGCGCGGCCCCCGAACCCCCCGCGGAAUUCGGGGCGCUCAUCCCGCCCCUCCCCCACUGCGGGGGGCUCACCCAACCCCCCAAACCCCCCCAAACCCCCCCCAAAACCCCCCCCGGGCCCCCCCCGGCCGCGGGGCCUGCGCUGGGCGUGCAGCACACGCGUGUGCGCGGGGCCCGGCCCCACGGGCGGCGUCACGCGGGGCACACGCGUGUGAGCGGGGGGGGGGUCGGGGGUGUGCAAGGGCUGCGAGAGGCGGGUUUGGGGGUGCACGAGAGCCCGCAGGCGGUUUUGGGGUGCAGGAGAGCCCGCAGGGUGUCUGCAGGAGGUUUUUGGGGUGCACGAGAGCUCACAGGCAGUUUUUGGGGUGCUGGAGAGGUCGCAGGCGGUUUGCAGGUGGUUUUUGGGGUGCACAAGAGCCCACAGGGUGUUUGCAGGAGGUUUUUGGGGUGUACAAGAGCCCACAGGUGGUUUUUGGGGUGCAGGAGAGCCCGCAGGGUGUUUGCAGGUGGUUUUUGGGGUGUACAAGAGCUCACAGGCGGUUUUUGGGGUGCACGAGAGCCCUCAGGGUGUCUGCGGGCGGUUUUUGGGGUGUAAGGGGUGUGGGAGGGAGCUGUGCCCGGUUCUGGGGUGUGCAAGGACUGGGUGGGUGCAUUUUUGGGGUGCACGUGGAGGGAGGGGUGUUAAACUGGGGAACCACGAGCGUGCAAGGGGAGUGUGCACAGAUUUGGGGUGCACACGAGCGUGCAGGGUGUGUGUGUUUAGUUUUGGGGUGCACACGAGCGUGCAGGGUGUGUGUGUUUGGUUUUGGGGUGCACACGAGCCUGGGUGUGUUUCGGGGUGCACGUGUGCAAACCCGCGGUGCACACGCGUGUUCAAGGGG